RNAcentral lists this ribosomal RNA (453 nucleotides) under uncultured bacterium. Its description in RNAcentral is "partial 16S ribosomal RNA". It matches the Rfam family "Bacterial small subunit ribosomal RNA", at positions 28 to 506 of the family's 1533-position model. The record is from RNAcentral.
GAUGAACGCUGACAGAAUGCUUAACACAUGCAAGUCUACUUGAACUUCGGUUUGGGUGGCGGACGGGUGAGUAACGCGUAAAGAACUUACCUCACAGUUAGGGACAACAUUUGGAAACGAAUGCUAAUACCUGAUAUUAUGAUUUUAGGGCAUCCUAAGAUUAUGAAAGCUAUAUGCGCUGUGAGAGAGCUUUGCGUCCCAUUAGCUAGUUGGAGAGGUAACGGCUCACCAAGGCGAUGAUGGGUAGCCGGCCUGAGAGGGUGAACGGCCACAAGGGGACUGAGACACGGCCCUUACUCCUACGGGAGGCAGCAGUGGGGAAUAUUGGACAAUGGACCAAAAGUCUGAUCCAGCAAUUCUGUGUGCACGAUGACGUUUUUCGGAAUGUAAAGUGCUUUCAGUUGGGAAGAAAAAAAUGACGGUACCAACAGAAGAAGUGACGGCUAAAUACGU